This 434-nucleotide ribosomal RNA is filed under the name uncultured bacterium. Its description in RNAcentral is "bacterial SSU rRNA". It matches the Rfam family "Bacterial small subunit ribosomal RNA", at positions 355 to 786 of the family's 1533-position model. The record is from RNAcentral.
UGAGGAAUAUUGGUCAAUGGCCGAGAGGCUGAACCAGCCAAGUCGCGUGAGGGAAGACGGUCCUAUGGGUUGUAAACCUCUUUUGUCGGGAAGCAAAAGGCAUCACGUGUGAUGCUCCGAGAGUACCCGAGAAAAGCAAUCGGCUAACUCCGUGCCAGCAGCCGCGGUAAUACGGAGGAUGCGAGCGUUAUCCGGAUUUAUUGGGUUUAAAGGGUGCGUAGGCGGACUUUUAAGUCAGCGGUAAAAAUUGAGAGGCUCAACCUCUUCCCGCCGUUGAAACAUGGGAGUCUUGAGUGGGCGAGAAGUAUGCGGAAUGCGUGGUGUAGCGGUGAAAUGCAUAGAUAUCACGCAGAACUCCGAUUGCGAAGGCAGCAUACCGGCGCCCAACUGACGCUGAAGCACGAAAGCGUGGGUAUCGAACAGGAUUAGAUACC